CCUACGGGUGGCUGCAGUGGGGAAUAUUGGACAAUGGGCGAAAGCCUGAUCCAGCCAUGCCGCGUGUGUGAAGAAGGCCUUCGGGUUGUAAAGCACUUUCAGUGGGGAAGAAAGCCUUGGGGCUAAUACCCUCGAGGAAGGACAUCACCCACAGAAGAAGCACCGGCUAACUCCGUGCCAGCAGCCGCGGUAAUACGGAGGGUGCGAGCGUUAAUCGGAAUUACUGGGCGUAAAGCGCGCGUAGGCGGUCUGAUAAGCCGGUUGUGAAAGCCCCGGGCUCAACCUGGGAACGGCAUCCGGAACUGUCAGGCUAGAGUGCAGGAGAGGAAGGUAGAAUUCCCGGUGUAGCGGUGAAAUGCGUAGAGAUCGGGAGGAAUACCAGUGGCCAAGGCGGCCUUCUGGACUGACACUGACGCUGAGGUGCGAAAGCGUGGGUAGCAAACAGGAUUAGAUACCCCAGUAGUC
RNAcentral lists this ribosomal RNA (465 nucleotides) under Vreelandella stevensii. RNAcentral describes it as "partial 16S ribosomal RNA". It matches the Rfam family "Bacterial small subunit ribosomal RNA", at positions 338 to 795 of the family's 1533-position model. The record is from RNAcentral. Lineage: Bacteria; Pseudomonadati; Pseudomonadota; Gammaproteobacteria; Oceanospirillales; Halomonadaceae.